This 622-nucleotide long non-coding RNA is filed under the name Homo sapiens (human). Its description in RNAcentral is "non-protein coding lnc-GNAZ-1:1". The record is from RNAcentral. Lineage: Eukaryota; Metazoa; Chordata; Mammalia; Primates; Hominidae.
AUCUUCCAGGAGGGAAUGAUUCCCAGGAGCUGACCAUGGUACUAAGCCAGAUGUAGGCAAGGAGACCAAGAGCUGCACCUGGAUGAUCUGGGACAUGUUCUGUGGACUGGAGUCAGGAGGGCCCCAAAGUGGCCCCAGCAAAGGCAACAGAGGAGGUAGAGCAUGGUGACACGUUGCAAAGUGCAAAGGCGCUGGCCCUGGGAGAGGCAACUGAGAAAGUAGAGGUUGCUGAGAAGACGGAAGGUACAGAGUGGGGCAACAUGUCAGACAAUCCCUACUGGAGGAGAGUUGUGGGCAUCAGUGGGAUCAUCCUGAUCAUGCUCAAGGUCCUUGGCGUCAUCUACUUUGCCUGAAGCAGCUGGGCUGGGGCCGUCCAGGAGGAGGCAGAGCUGCUGCUUCUCCAGGAUCAUCAUGAACAGGGACAAAGCGUUUCCUACUGGGAGACCCAUGGGCCUGGGACCAAGGAUUACAUUAAUAAAAAUGUUCCCUUGGUGUCAUGCAUCAAGGGCUACCAGCAGCAGCACACACAUGCCGUGUGGCAGGACAGAGCAAAGUCCAUUCGCCAUUACAGAAAGUAUGCAAAUGAGAACAUCUGUUCCUUUACAAAAUGAGUCAUUUUCUC